AUGGCCCACAUAUCAGAUAUUAAACUGAUAAGAACAGAUACUACACUUGAUCUUAGCCAAAAGGCCGAGAAAGGUAUGAGUUGCAACGCUGAGGCAGGUCUCGUUUUGUAG
This 111-nucleotide ribosomal RNA is filed under the name Triticum aestivum (bread wheat). RNAcentral's name for it is "partial small subunit ribosomal RNA". The record is from RNAcentral. Lineage: Eukaryota; Viridiplantae; Streptophyta; Magnoliopsida; Poales; Poaceae.